GUGCAGCAGGCGCGAAAACUUUGCAAUACACGGAAGUGUGACAGGGCUAUCCCGAGUGCCAUCCGCUGAGGAAGGCUGUUACCCAGUCUAGAACGCUGGGGGAAUAAGGAGAGGGCAAGUCUGGUGUCAGCCGCCGCGGUAAUACCAGCUCUCCGAGUGGUGUGGAUGUUUAUUGGGCCUAAAGCAUCCGUAGCUGGCUAAGUUAGUCCCUUGUUAAAUCCACCGAAUUAAUCGUUGGAUUGCGGGGGAUACUGCUUGGCUAGGGACGAGAGAGGCAGACGGUAUUUCCGGGGUAGGGGUGAAAUCCUAUAACCCCGGGAAGACCACCAGUGGCGAAGGCUGUCUGCUAGAACGCGCCCGACGGUGAGGGAUGAAAGCUGGGGGAGCGAACCGGAUUAGAUACCCGGGUAGUCCCAGCUGUAAACGAUGCAGGCUAGGUGUUUGGACGGCCACGUGCCGUUCUAGUGCCGCAGGGAAGCUGUUAAGCCUGCCGCCUGGGGAGUACGAUCGCAAGAUUGAAACUUAAAGGAAUUGGCGGGGGAGCAC
RNAcentral lists this ribosomal RNA (546 nucleotides) under uncultured archaeon. RNAcentral's name for it is "bacterial SSU rRNA". It matches the Rfam family "Archaeal small subunit ribosomal RNA", at positions 330 to 879 of the family's 1478-position model. The record is from RNAcentral.